GUAUAUCCAUGUCCUCGGCCUCCCAGGUGGCCUGAUCGUACGGAAGCUCCCUCCACUUGAUCAAAUAAUGGACGUUGUUUUUUCUGUCCACGCUGAAGAACCCAGAAAACAUCAAAGAACAUUAAUAUAAAACCUGGUUGUGUGCCUGCUGACCUGUGGUUCAGGAUGCGGUGAAUCAUCAACCACUCCAUCUUUAUUCCAAAGCGGAAGUACUUCUCCUCCAGGUGAACAUAUGUGGGAUCCUUGCUCUUCCUCUUGACAUAUUUAUCCUCCUCUCCCUCGCCAAAGUCGAUGGGCGGCGGUUCGUCCAUGUCGUUCUUCCUCUGGUAGUUCCUGAACAUCACCUGGCAGUGCAUCUCCAGCUACAUUUGCCGAUGAGACAUUAAGAGGGGGGGUUAUUAAGGAGCAUUUCUCCAUUUUUCUUUUCAGGAAGUUGAGCCGUCUCACCUGCAGCUCAGAGACCCAGGAGCAAUGCCAGUACGACAUGUUGCACCAUUUGGCGAAGAACUCCCGCUCUGCCCGUCCCUUCAGAGGAGGGGGGUCGGGGGCAUCGGGCAGCAGUUCUGGAGGGCGGGGUACCACAGUGGGGGGCGGGGGCUCUCCCCAUCGCCAUGUCAAGAUUUUCUGUACCUUUCCUUUCAUGGGUGGACACUGGAGAACAGAGGAGGAGGAGCGUUCUCAAACUUUUAAUGUCAUGACCUGCAAGAUUUUUUAAUUAAACAACAGUUUCAAAGUUGAUUCUCAGGAGGAAUUAGUUUGUCCAUAAACAAGAUCAAACAACAAAAUACACAGAUUAUUUUAGUCUGAACUUAAACUAAAGCUUAAACAGUCCACUUUGUUUGAAUUAAAUUCAGGUGCAGACAUUACAAAAUGUGGUACGCUAAAAUAGGAACUUUGGAGUUUAGAUGGGAAAUAAAAGCAGAAAGAGCCAGAAAAAAAAAAAAAACAGGCAUUAAGUAAAAAAAAA
Long non-coding RNA from Oryzias melastigma (Indian medaka), 967 nucleotides. RefSeq lists it as uncharacterized. The record is from RefSeq and is a predicted model, not a curated record. The transcript is spliced from 2 exons. Lineage: Eukaryota; Metazoa; Chordata; Actinopteri; Beloniformes; Adrianichthyidae.